UAUUGUGAGCAUUUCUUUUAUUAUGCAUUCAUCUUUUUUUUUUUUUCUGUUAAAAAUCCGAUUAAAAUAAAUUCUAAAAUCUGUUGACACACACUAAAUACAUUCACCAAAUCACACACACACAAUAUUCGUUUCCUAUCUAGUAACCUACUCCUGGGCAGACACUGUGUCACAAAUGAACGAAAGUCAUUUCAUCAAUCCAGCAAUUAAAGUUGACAACCAUUGUAUAGGCCUUUCAUUGACCAAGUUGCUACAGUAGUAUUCUAUUUCUCAUUGAAAUCUGUGAGAGUAGUCAUUACUACUUAAAAUAAAACAAAAAAAAAAAAAAAACAACUGGGAAAAAAU
Molecule: non-coding RNA, 345 nt
Organism: Biomphalaria pfeifferi
Lineage: Eukaryota; Metazoa; Mollusca; Gastropoda; Planorbidae
Source: the annotation of a GenBank genome assembly